CAAAGACAAAAGCUGAAAAAAGAACAAUCACAACCCAGAGAAGACCAUAACUUUGAAAACGCUCGCCCAACAUGAAAGCCAACACAUACAGGGAUGGUCUAAAAGAAGUUUGAGAUUAUUCUUGUUUAAAAAAUCUUUGACCUUUGAAAUAUGUUUGCUAAAUAAUUUAUCUUUGUCAAAUCUCACUAUCCUUUCAGGGGUAACUUUUCAUGAUGGAAAACAGCAAAAAUCCAGAUCUGGAAAGCAGAUUUUUCCAAGAAGAAUUUCCAGCACUCAUUCAAUACAUCUCAUCAAAUGGAGUGGAUAGCUUUGAUAGCAUUGAACUAAGCAAAAUGUUGAAUGAUUAGCGCCAACCAAGCGGUUCUCAACCUUUCAGUUCAUCGGCGAUGCAGGGAAGUGAUGUUGCUACCUUGGAAAACCAAACUGGUGAAUCUCAAUCCAUCUUCCAUCAAAGAAAGCAUUUUGUUUCCAUCAGCUUGUCAGCUUCUCCAAUAGCAGAAAGCUCGAAGAACCCAAAAAGGUUAUUUUCAAAGAAGAUGCUGAAAAAAUAUUUGUUUAUGAAAAUCAAGAUUCUUCUACUGCAUCUAAGACUGCCGGUAUGUCAGAUGAUAGUGAUUUUGUUAUUUCCUGGAAUUAGUUGAGGUUUGAUUUUGCAUGCACACAAAGUGUUCUGUGAAAGUUCUAGCUUCUUCUUUUUUUUAUUACAAAGUUGUAAUAUUAAUUUGAUUUAUAGUUUGAUGGUAAAGUUUAAUAUUUAUAUAA
This is a long non-coding RNA of Populus nigra (black poplar), 762 nucleotides long. RefSeq lists it as uncharacterized. The transcript has 2 exons. Lineage: Eukaryota; Viridiplantae; Streptophyta; Magnoliopsida; Malpighiales; Salicaceae. The record is from RefSeq and is a predicted model, not a curated record.